AAAUGCAACCAAUUCAAGUAUUUACAUUCCAUCAUCCAAAAAAUAGAAUAAUAGAUCCUUUGUUUUGAUAAAUCCUUUUUGUCUUUUAAAGGUAUGCUCUCUUUGGGUAUUUUUUCUAUUAGGGAUUGGGCAAGUGGUAUUUGUGGAAUUGAUUUUUGAUACAUGGAUAUUGUUAUCAAGUGUGUUGGGUUGAUUUUAUUUGAGUCAAAAUUUUGUUAAGAUUUAUCCAACAGUAACACUAUAAUUUCUGGUGUGAUUCCGAUGAUGACUAAGAUGACAGAACACAAAAUUAAUAGGACAAAUUAUCUAGAGUGGAGUAAGACUGUUAGGCUCUAUCUGCGAAACAUAGACAAGGAUGAUCAUCUUACUCAGGAUACCCAAUGAUGAUAUGAGGCAAACUUUGACUCAAGGAGGAUGCUAGAUUAUUUUGCAGUUUCGAAACUCGAUUCAUAUUGAGGCAAUCAGUUUAAUUAAUCAAUGUGAAUAUGAU
This 490-nucleotide unclassified non-coding RNA is filed under the name Hevea brasiliensis (rubber tree). The record is from RNAcentral. Lineage: Eukaryota; Viridiplantae; Streptophyta; Magnoliopsida; Malpighiales; Euphorbiaceae.